Molecule: ribosomal RNA, 781 nt
Filed under: uncultured Neocallimastigales
Lineage: Eukaryota; Fungi; Neocallimastigomycota; Neocallimastigomycetes; Neocallimastigales
Description: partial large subunit ribosomal RNA
Rfam family: Eukaryotic large subunit ribosomal RNA
Source: RNAcentral
UACUAGAGUAGCACUCGCAUAUCAAUAAGCGGAGGAAAAGAAACUAACAAGGAUUCCCUUAGUAACGGCGAGUGAAGCGGGAAGAGCUCAAAUUUGAAAUCUUCAAGGUUUUACCUUGACGAAUUGUAGUUUAUAGAAGUGUUUUCUGUUAGUAGAGUUUGGUAAAAGUUCUUUGGAAUAGGACAUCAUAGAGGGUGAGAAUCCCGUAUUUGGAUCCAUUAUUUUCUAGCUGUGUGAUACACUUUCAACGAGUCGGAUUGUUUGGGAAUGCAGUCCAAAAUGGGUGGUAAAUUUCAUCUAAAGCUAAAUAUUGGCGAGAGACCGAUAGCGAACAAGUACCGUGAGGGAAAGAUGAAAAGAACUUUGAAAAGAGAGUUAAACAGUACGUGAAAUUGUCAAAAGGGAAGCGUUUGACACCAGUGUUGUUUUCUCGAAAAUCAAUUAAAAAAUGGCUGGGAUUUUGUGUUGUAUUGACCUUAAAAGCUUUCUUCACUCUUUUCUUGUCUUUUUUAAUGCACUUUUCGUUUAACAAGUCAACAUCAGUUUCUUUUGUUGUAAAAGGGUCAUUGGAAGGUGGCUUUCUUUUCGGAGAAAGUGUUUAUAGCCUUUGAUCUCUGCAACCGGAGAGACUGAGGUCUGCAGCGUAGACUCUUCGGGGUUAGAUACAUUUGUGCUAAGCUAUAGCUUUUUAUAGACAACUUGUUGACUAUAUUUAGUCUUGUGGCUUACUCGCUUAUGCUAUUUUACCUACGCUUAGGAUGUUGAAGAUGUAGCACAUCAU